RNAcentral lists this long non-coding RNA (205 nucleotides) under Manihot esculenta (cassava). RNAcentral describes it as "long non-coding RNA (MESC_LNC007301)". Lineage: Eukaryota; Viridiplantae; Streptophyta; Magnoliopsida; Malpighiales; Euphorbiaceae. The record is from RNAcentral.
GGCUGGGCCUUGGUGAUGCAGGAUGCUUAAAGGUUUCUAAGUAAUGGCCAGGCGUCAUGGGCCAGGGCCCUGUUCGAGGCGAGGGAACCCAGCGGUCAUCGUCGAUUGCCCCUCUACCUUCCUGUUAAUUAUUAUCUGACUGUGCAGGUUUCCAGAAUCAUUAUGACCGCGUCUGUUCACGUUCAGCUUUCCCCAUAAAUUCUUU